This 552-nucleotide ribosomal RNA is filed under the name uncultured bacterium. RNAcentral describes it as "bacterial SSU rRNA". It matches the Rfam family "Bacterial small subunit ribosomal RNA", at positions 46 to 643 of the family's 1533-position model. The record is from RNAcentral.
GCUUACACAUGCAAGUCGAACGCCCGUAGCAAUACGGGAGUGGCAGACGGGAGAGUAACACGUGGGAACGUGCCCUUCAGUUCGGAACAACCCAGGGAAACUUGGGCUAAUACCGGAUACGUCCGUAAGGAGAAAGAUUUAUCGCUGAAGGAUCGGCCCGCGUCUGAUUAGCUGGUUGGUGGGGUAAUGGCUCACCAAGGCGACGAUCAGUAGCUGGUCUGAGAGGAUGAUCAGCCUCACUGGGACUGAGACACGGCCCAGACUCCUACGGGAGGCAGCAGUGGGGAAUCUUGGACAAUGGGCGCAAGCCUGAUCCAGCCAUGCCGCGUGGGUGAUGAAGGCCCUAGGGUUGUAAAGCCCUUUCGGCGGGGAAGAUAAUGACGGUACCCGCAGAAGAAGCCCCGGCUAACUUCGUGCCAGCAGCCGCGGUAAUACGAAGGGGGCUAGCGUUGCUCGGAAUCACUGGGCGUAAAGCGCACGUAGGCGGAUUGCUAAGUCAGGGGUGAAAUCCUGGAGCUCAACUCCAGAACUGGCUUUGAUACUGGCGGUCUC